AUUGAACGCUGGCGGCAGGCCUAACACAUGCAAGUCGAACGGUAACAGGAAGCAGCUUGCUGCUUCGCUGACGAGUGGCGGACGGGUGAGUAAUGUCUGGGAAGCUGCCUGAUGGAGGGGGAUAACUACUGGAAACGGUAGCUAAUACCGCAUAAUGUCGCAAGACCAAAGAGGGGGACCUUCGGGCCUCUUGCCAUCGGAUGUGCCCAGAUGGGAUUAGCUUGUUGGUGGGGUAACGGCUCACCAAGGCGACGAUCCCUAGCUGGUCUGAGAGGAUGACCAGCCACACUGGAACUGAGAAACGGUCCAGACUCCUACGGGAGGCAGCAGUGGGGAAUAUUGCACAAUGGGCGCAAGCCUGAUGCAGCCAUGCCGCGUGUAUGAAGAAGGCCUUCGGGUUGUAAAGUACUUUCAGCGGGGAGGAAGGGAGUAAAGUUAAUACCUUUGCUCAUUGACGUUACCCGCAGAAGAAGCACCGGCUAACUACGUG
Molecule: ribosomal RNA, 490 nt
Filed under: uncultured bacterium
Lineage: Bacteria
Description: partial 16S ribosomal RNA
Rfam family: Bacterial small subunit ribosomal RNA
Source: RNAcentral